UCUUUAAUUUGUAAAUGUAAAACGCCGAAGUCAAACAGAAGGAAAAUUUUUGUGUUUGUGUCUGGCGUUUGCAUUUGUAGAAAGAAACUUAAGAAUGUUUUAUAUUUAAGUUAACUACUAACAUGUUUGUAUUAACAAAUACAAAAGGGUGUUAUUGAGAUGCACAACUACUUGACGAGUGUGUACGACGUUGGAGAUGCUCGAAGUACUCUUCUCACCAUGAUCCAAACGUUACACCACGCCAAAAAUGGCGUUGACAUGUUUUCUGGAACUAAGGCAAUUAUCUUUAUCGAUUACUUUCUAUUAGCCAAACUAUCGAUUACUUUUAUCCUUAUAUAUAUACAUACAUAAGACAAUACUUUGGUUUCUUGUCUGUGACUUUGAUUAUUGUAGGUACGAACACACUUUGGGAGACCGAAGUGGAAGAAGGUUUUAUCAAAGAUUAGCACCAAACAUAAGAAUGCAAGAAUCGGAGUGUUCUAUUGUGGAGGACCGAGUUUAGGGAAGGAACUCUCCACAUUGUGCCAUGAAUUUAAUCAAACGGGCUGUUCCAGGUUCGAGUUCCGCAAAGAACAGUUUUAAGGGUAAAAAUGAUAUGGCUCCUCUACAAUGUGGCUUUUGAAUCAAUCGAAUCAAGUAUAUUGGUAUACAUGUAAAAUUAAUGUUCAUGAUUUUCUUCGCUUCAUUCA
Brassica napus (rape) is the source of this 689-nucleotide long non-coding RNA. RefSeq lists it as uncharacterized. The record is from RefSeq and is a predicted model, not a curated record. Lineage: Eukaryota; Viridiplantae; Streptophyta; Magnoliopsida; Brassicales; Brassicaceae. The transcript has 2 exons.